Molecule: ribosomal RNA, 557 nt
Filed under: proteobacterium SDB-114
Lineage: Bacteria; Pseudomonadati; Pseudomonadota
Description: bacterial SSU rRNA
Rfam family: Bacterial small subunit ribosomal RNA
Source: RNAcentral
ACGGGUGCGUAACGCGUGGGAAUCUGCCCCUUGGUUCGGAAUAACGGUUGGAAACGACUGCUAAUACCGGAUGACUACGUACGUCCAAAGAUUUAUCACCGAGGGAUGAGCCCGCGUAUGAGUAGGUAGUUGGUGUGGUAAACGCGCACCAAACCAACCAUCCUUAGCUGGUCUGAAAGGAUGAUCACCCACACUGGGACUGACACACGGCCCACACUCCUACGGGAGGCAUCAGUGGGGAAUAUUGGACAAUGGGCGAAAGCCUGAUCCAUCACUGCCGCGUGAGUGAUGAAUGCCUUAUGGUUGUAAAGCUCUUUUACCCGGGAUGAUAAUGACCGUACCGGGAGAAUAACCUCCAGCUAACUCCCUGCCACCACCCUCGGUAAUACGGAGGGAGCUAGCGUUAUUCUUAAUUACUGGGCGUAAAGCGCACGUAGGCUGCUUUGUAAGUAAUAAGUGAAAGCACAUAGCUCAACUCUGGAAUUGCCUUUUAGACUGCAUCGCUUGAAUCAUGGAUAGGUCAAUGUAAUUCCGAGUGUAUAGGUGAAAUUCAUAUA